This 373-nucleotide ribosomal RNA is filed under the name uncultured organism. RNAcentral describes it as "partial 16S ribosomal RNA". It matches the Rfam family "Bacterial small subunit ribosomal RNA", at positions 527 to 896 of the family's 1533-position model. The record is from RNAcentral.
GUACCGUACAAACGUUAUUCGGAAUCACUGGGCUUAAAGGGUGCGUAGGCGGUGCGGUCAGUUGGGUGUGAAAUCCCUCGGCUCAACCGAGGAACUGCGCCCAAUACUGCCGCACUCGAGGGAGACAGAGGUAAGCGGAACUGAUGGUGGAGCGGUGAAAUGCGUUGAUAUCAUCAGGAACACCGGUAGCGAAGGCGGCUUACUGGGUCUCUUCUGACGCUGAGGCACGAAAGCUAGGGUAGCGAACGGGGGAUUAGAUACCCCGGUAGUCCUAGCUGUAAACGAUGAGCACUUGGUCGGAGACUCCUCCAUAGGUUUCCGGUCGUAGCGAAAGUGUUAAGUGCUCCGCCUGGGGAGUAUGGUCGCAAGGCUG